This 492-nucleotide ribosomal RNA is filed under the name uncultured bacterium. Its description in RNAcentral is "partial 16S ribosomal RNA". It matches the Rfam family "Bacterial small subunit ribosomal RNA", at positions 29 to 507 of the family's 1533-position model. The record is from RNAcentral.
AGUGAACGCUGGCGGUAGGCCUAACACAUGUAAGUCGAACGGCAGCACAGUAAGAGCUUGCUCUUACGGGUGGCGAGUGGCGGACGGGUGAGGAAUACAUCGGAAUCUACUUUUUCGUGGGGGAUAACGUAGGGAAACUUACGCUAAUACCGCAUACGACCUACGGGUGAAAGCAGGGGAUCUUCGGACCUUGCGCGAUUGAAUGAGCCGAUGUCGGAUUAGCUAGUUGGCGGGGUAAAGGCCCACCAAGGCGACGAUCCGUAGCUGGUCUGAGAGGAUGAUCAGCCACACUGGAACUGAGACACGGUCCAGACUCCUACGGGAGGCAGCAGUGGGGAAUAUUGGACAAUGGGCGCAAGCCUGAUCCAGCCAUACCGCGUGGGUGAAGAAGGCCUUCGGGUUGUGAAGCCCUUUUGUUGGGAAAGAAAAGCAGCAGGUUAAUACCCCGCUGUUCUGACGGUACCCAAAGAAUAAGCACCGGCUAACUUCGUG